UUCGACUGUUCUCUCAAUCUAGGGGACUUGAAGGCAUCGGAUUUACCACGAGUGUGAAUUCUCCGACAAGGGUUGUCGACUUAUAGAGCCACCUACAGGAGAGGCUAGGGAUCACGGCAAGGGAAUCGCGUCUAGCUAGACCUAGCUUGCGGUUUUACUAGGUGAUCACCUUGCUACUCAUGCCACGGCCGAGGGUGAUGUACCCGUGUAUAGAGAGACUAUCAUUGUAUAUGUAUUUUGAGUAGCCCUGUGA
This is a long non-coding RNA of Ananas comosus (pineapple), 253 nucleotides long. RefSeq lists it as uncharacterized. The record is from RefSeq and is a predicted model, not a curated record. NCBI's taxonomy places the organism in Eukaryota, Viridiplantae, Streptophyta, Magnoliopsida, Poales, Bromeliaceae. The transcript has 3 exons.